This 587-nucleotide long non-coding RNA is filed under the name Equus caballus (horse). RNAcentral's name for it is "lncRNA (ENSECAG00000054762.1)". Lineage: Eukaryota; Metazoa; Chordata; Mammalia; Perissodactyla; Equidae. The record is from RNAcentral.
AUGAGCACAUCCGUGCAGAAUGGGAUCGCUGGGGCUGGUGUCAAGACAGCGAACACCAGCGCCUGUGCUAAAGCCUGCCCUCCCUUGCAGUUCUCUUAAUGGACCAGCCAGUCCUCUGCCUGCCCAACACGUGACAGCUCUCAAAACAGCCCCCACCCCAUUUUCAAAAAUCAUUAAGCUGCAUGCAUAUUCUGAAAGACUGCACCGUCUUUGGAGAGUUGGGAUGGAAGCACAGCUGUCCUUUCCUCGACACAUUCCGUUCAGGUGGCCGUGGUUUUCCCAGGGGGUACUCGAGGCCACCGAAUGACGCAAGGAAGAUUAGCCCUGAGCUAACUGCUGAGGAAGACUGGCCCUGAGCUAACAUCUGUGCCCAUCUUCCUCUACUUUACAUGUGGGACGCCUACCACAGCAUGGCUUGCUAAGCGGUGCCAUGUCCGCACCCGGGAUCUGAACCGCAAACCCCGGGCUGCUGAAGCGGAAUGUGUGCACCUAACUGCUGCGCCACCAGGCCGGCCCCUGAUGAGGACUUCUAAGAUCUAUUCUCUUAGCAACUCUUAAAUAUUCAAUAAAGUAUUAUUAACUAUGGU